GAUUCCCAGCCAUGGCUGGUAAUGACACCAAUCUGCAGCACCAAAAAAAGUUAGAAAAUAUAUUAUAGUAAAUAUUGCAUAUUAUAUCUAUACAUACCCCAUCAAACGCCCAAGCGUUAUGAAUUACGAUGCAGUUAAAGAUGUACUCCCUUAAUAGGCUCUUUUUGUAGGCGGCACGAAAGAUCUGUGUAAAACUUCGCUUCGCGAUGAUCACGUCAACCUCGGGAGUAAAUAACUCUCAAACCCGGCUGGUCUGAAUCUUCAGACACAUCUCGUGGUUCAAACUCCCAACCCGAAGCUGAUAGUCAAACCUUCCCUUUUUUAAAAGGUUUUUGUUUAUUAUGACAUCGGAACUCUGACUAUAUGCUUUACGUAGACUUUGAAGAUGUCUGUUAAUCCUUUAUAUGUAACGUAAAAACUUACCGUGUAAGAUCUAAAGUUGGCCUAUCCUUUGCCUGUCUGAUAUACACGCAAAUGAUUCAUAGCUAGCCCAGAGGUGUUCAGAAUUAGGAAUACAUUGCUAUUAUCUCUCUUGUGUUAAAAUUUGAGAUAGUUGACCACUUCCUGGGUCUCAGCAGGCGCCAACGCUACAGCUCCCGCAAUCUCCUCGUCACCACUCACAUCAGACUCGCCAUCCUAUGAUAAGUCACUGCCCGACAGUACAGUGCACGAAGAAAAGCCAGAAUACUUGGUUUUGCACGAGACGCAAAUAUUAAACAAACUACACAACAGAUCCGAAGUUGUCGUCGUCAAUGUUUUCAGGAAAAGAAAUCUGUGUAGUUCAGAAAACAAUUCUACCCCCGUUAGUGUUGAAAAAAUGGAUCUUGACAACAUCAUCUUGAAACAUGGGGGAAGCAUAACUUUCAAUCCAGGAAAAGAUACAUUCUUUGUCGCGACAGACAUUGUUAGUCUGUACACUAAAAGUUAUAGCACAAGAAUGCAACGCAUCCUCUCUUCCUGGAUUCACAAUUGUGUCACUGCUCAAAGUUGCCUGCCGUUUCAAGAAAAGACUCAUUUUUUUUAAAUUCCUGAUAGUAAGUUUCUACCAUCAGCCAAGAAAAGUUC
Long non-coding RNA from Daphnia pulex (common water flea), 1065 nucleotides. RefSeq lists it as uncharacterized. The record is from RefSeq and is a predicted model, not a curated record. The transcript has 5 exons. NCBI's taxonomy places the organism in Eukaryota, Metazoa, Arthropoda, Branchiopoda, Diplostraca, Daphniidae.